Molecule: ribosomal RNA, 479 nt
Filed under: uncultured Planctomycetota bacterium
Lineage: Bacteria; Pseudomonadati; Planctomycetota
Description: bacterial SSU rRNA
Rfam family: Bacterial small subunit ribosomal RNA
Source: RNAcentral
UUUCGCAAUGCCCGAAAGGGUGACGAAGCGACGCCGCGUGCGGGAAGAAGGCCUUCGGGUUGUAAACCGCUGUCGGGAGUUAAGAAAUGUAAGGAUGUUAAUAGCAUCUUUACUCGACUAAGGCUCCGGAGGAAGCCACGGCUAACUCUGUGCCAGCAGCCGCGGUAAUACAGAGGCGGCAAGCGUUGUUCGGAAUUAUUGGGCGUAAAGAGCACGUAGGCGGCUAUGUAAGUCGGUUGUGAAAGCCUUCCGCUCAACGGGAGAACAGCAUCCGAUACUGCAUGGCUUGAGUGCGGGAGGGGAGAGUGGAACUUCUGGUGGAGCGGUGAAAUGCGUAGAUAUCAGAAGGAACGCCGGCGGCGAAAGCGGCUCUCUGGCCCAUAACUGACGCUGAGUGUGCGAAAGCUAGGGGAGCAAACGGGAUUAGAUACCCCGGUAGUCCUAGCCGUAAACGAUGGGCACUAAGUAGAGGGGUUUUA